CCUGCCUCUAGAGGCAUUGCAGGAAUGACUACUGUGUCACAUGUGCAUCAGGAGGUGGCAGAGAGAAGAGAGGCCAUGUCUAUGCUCAGUGUUCUGACCUGUGACCAUCUGAAUGAUUAGUACCCUAACAUU
Mastomys coucha (southern multimammate mouse) is the source of this 132-nucleotide small nucleolar RNA. RefSeq annotates it as small nucleolar RNA SNORA17. The record is from RefSeq and is a predicted model, not a curated record. The transcript has a single exon. NCBI's taxonomy places the organism in Eukaryota, Metazoa, Chordata, Mammalia, Rodentia, Muridae.